AGCGGCGGACGGGUGAGUAACGCGUGGGUAACCUGCCUCAUACACAUGGAUAACAUACCGAAAGGUAUGCUAAUACAAGAUGAUAUAAGAGAUUUGCAUGGAUUUCUUAUCAAAGCUCCGGCGGUAUGAGAUGGACCCGCGUCUGAUUAGCUAGUUGGUAAGGUAACGGCUUACCAAGGCGACGAUCAGUAGCCGACCUGAGAGGGUGAUCGGCCACAUUGGAACUGAGACACGGUCCAAACUCCUACGGGAGGCAGCAGUGGGGAAUAUUGCACAAUGGGCGAAAGCCUGAUGCAGCAACGCCGCGUGAGCGAUGAAGGCCUUCGGGUCGUAAAGCUCUGUCCUCAAGGAAGAUAAUGACGGUACUUGAGGAGGAAGCCCCGGCUAACUACGUGCCAGCAGCCGCGGUAAUACGUAGGGGGCUAGCGUUAUCCGGAUUUACUGGGCGUAAAGGGUGCGUAGGUGGUUUCUUAAGUCAGGAGUGAAAGGCUACGGCUCAACCGUAGUAAGCUCUUGAAACUGGGAAACUUGAGUGCAGGAGAGGAAAGUGGAAUUCCUAGUGUAGCGGUGAAAUGCGUAGAUAUUAGGAGGAACACCAGUAGCGAAGGCGGCUUUCUGGACUGUAACUGACACUGAGGCACGAAAGCGUGGGGAGCAAACAGGAUUAGAUACCCUGGUAGUCCACGCCGUAAACGAUGAGUACUAGUGU
This 709-nucleotide ribosomal RNA is filed under the name uncultured bacterium. Its description in RNAcentral is "bacterial SSU rRNA". It matches the Rfam family "Bacterial small subunit ribosomal RNA", at positions 94 to 822 of the family's 1533-position model. The record is from RNAcentral.